RNAcentral lists this ribosomal RNA (440 nucleotides) under uncultured bacterium. RNAcentral describes it as "partial 16S ribosomal RNA". It matches the Rfam family "Bacterial small subunit ribosomal RNA", at positions 338 to 795 of the family's 1533-position model. The record is from RNAcentral.
CCUACGGGAGGCAGCAGUGGGGGAUAUUGCACAAUGGGGGAAACCCUGAUGCAGCGACGCCGCGUGGGUGAGGAAGUGUUUCGGUGUGUAAAGCUCUAUCAGCAGGGAAGAAAAUGACGGUACCUGAGUAAGAAGCCCCGGCUAACUACGUGCCAGCAGCCGCGGUAAUCCGUAGGGGGCAAGCGUUAUCCGGAUUUACUGGGUGUAAAGGGGGCGUAGACGGCAAUGCAAGCCUGGAGUGAAAGGCGGGGGCCCAACCCCCGGACUGCUCUGGAAACUGCACGGCUGGAGUGCAGGAGAGGUAAGCGGAAUUCCUGGUGUAGCGGUGAAAUGCGUAGAUAUCAGGAGGAACACCAGUGGCGAAGGCGGCUUACUGGACUGCAACUGACGUUGAGGCUCGAAAGCGUGGGGAGCAAACAGGAUUAGAUACCCCAGUAGUC